This is a long non-coding RNA of Engraulis encrasicolus (European anchovy), 307 nucleotides long. RefSeq lists it as uncharacterized. The record is from RefSeq and is a predicted model, not a curated record. Lineage: Eukaryota; Metazoa; Chordata; Actinopteri; Clupeiformes; Engraulidae. The transcript has 4 exons.
UGUGUAAACGUGUGAAGUCUUCACGGAGAAACUUUCAGAAGCGAUGUCCCAACAAGAAUCUGCCAGUAGGCUACCACAUUACACCUCAGCAGGCACACCAUAGAAGGACCACUCCUGGAUAAGGAUUUGAGCCACUGUCACGACUGCCAUCUACACUAUAUUACACACGGCAGCAGAUGUGGGAGGUGGUGAUCAACGUGACUCGUGAGCAGGUGGAGGACUUCCACGGCCCCGCGGACUACUGCUUCCUGUGUGUGGCCUGGAGCCACCUGAGGACCUCCAAGAGCUGGCAAGGACACGGUCCGCA